CACGCCGUAAACGAUGAGUGCUAAGUGUUAGAGGGUUUCCGCCCUUUAGUGCUGCAGCUAACGCAUUAAGCACUCCGCCUGGGGAGUACGGCCGCAAGGCUGAAACUCAAAGGAAUUGACGGGGGCCCGCACAAGCGGUGGAGCAUGUGGUUUAAUUCGAAGCAACGCGAAGAACCUUACCAGGUCUUGACAUCUCCUGACAAUCCUAGAGAUAGGACGUUCCCCUUUUAGGGGACAGGAUGACAGGUGG
Molecule: ribosomal RNA, 250 nt
Filed under: uncultured Bacillus sp.
Lineage: Bacteria; Bacillati; Bacillota; Bacilli; Caryophanales; Bacillaceae
Description: partial 16S ribosomal RNA
Rfam family: Bacterial small subunit ribosomal RNA
Source: RNAcentral